This 253-nucleotide ribosomal RNA is filed under the name uncultured bacterium. RNAcentral's name for it is "partial 16S ribosomal RNA". It matches the Rfam family "Bacterial small subunit ribosomal RNA", at positions 524 to 776 of the family's 1533-position model. The record is from RNAcentral.
UACGUAGGUGGCAAGCGUUGUCCGGAAUUAUUGGGCGUAAAGCGCGCGCAGGCGGUCUUUUAAGUCUGAUGUGAAAGCCCACGGCUCAACCGUGGAAGGUCAUUGGAAACUGGAAGACUUGAGUGCAGAAGAGAAGAGCGGAAUUCCACGUGUAGCGGUGAAAUGCGUAGAGAUGUGGAGGAACACCAGUGGCGAAGGCGGCUCUUUGGUCUGUAACUGACGCUGAGGCGCGAAAGCGUGGGGAGCAAGCAGG